UAGUGAGUUUGAUCCUGGCUCAGGGUGAACGCUGGCGGCUUGCCUAAGACAUGCAAGUCGAACGCAGUAGCUUGCUACUGAGUGGCGCACGGGUGAGUAACACGUAACUGACCUACCCCGUAGUCCCGCACAACGGUCCGAAAGGACCGCUAAUUCGGGAUGUGAACCCGCACCGUGGUGCGUGUUUAAAGAUUCAUCGCUAUGGGAUGGGGUUGCGGCGCAUCAGCUUGUUGGUGAGGUAAAGGCUCACCAAGGCGACGAUCUUUAGCUGGUCUGAGAGGAUGAUCAGCCACACUGGGGACUGAGACACGGCCCAGACUCCUACGGGAGGCAGCAGUGGGGAAUUUUCCGCAAUGGGCGAAAGCCUGACGGAGCAAGACCCGCGUGGGGGAGAAGGCCCUUGGGUUGUAAACCGUCUUUUGUCAGGGUAAGAAGCGCAAGUGACGGUACCUGCAGAGAAGCACCGGCUAACUCCGUGCCAGCAGCCGCGGUAAUCUGAUGGCGCG
Molecule: ribosomal RNA, 506 nt
Filed under: uncultured bacterium
Lineage: Bacteria
Description: bacterial SSU rRNA
Rfam family: Bacterial small subunit ribosomal RNA
Source: RNAcentral